UACGGGGGGGGCAAGCGUUGUUCGGAAUUACUGGGCGUAAAGGGUUCGUAGGUGGCCUGCUAAGUCAGACGUGAAAUCCCUCAGCUCAACUGGGGAACUGCGUCUGAGACUGGUGGGCUUGAGUGCAGGAGAGGAACGCGGAAUUCCAGGUGUAGCGGUGAAAUGCGUAGAUAUCUGGAGGAACACCGGUGGCGAAGGCGGCGUUCUGGACUGUUACUGACACUGAGGAACGAAAGCCAGGGGAGCAAACGGG
Molecule: ribosomal RNA, 253 nt
Filed under: uncultured bacterium
Lineage: Bacteria
Description: partial 16S ribosomal RNA
Rfam family: Bacterial small subunit ribosomal RNA
Source: RNAcentral